AGUGCUUCCGGGAUGCAUGACAAACUUUGAGUUAUGGGUCUCUGUCAUGAUGUCUCUCUUUAACUCACUGUCACCUGCAACACACACCAUGUCCUGAAAUCGGAGCAACCCAUCAGCGGAGACUCGAAAUUCUGAGCUAACUCCCUGUUCUGCAUCUUUCUUGAGGGCUACUAGGGCGAGAUCGGUUGACUAAGUUUCCCUUAUUCUCUAGAUU
RNAcentral lists this long non-coding RNA (214 nucleotides) under Carica papaya (papaya). RNAcentral's name for it is "long non-coding RNA (CPAP_LNC011767)". Lineage: Eukaryota; Viridiplantae; Streptophyta; Magnoliopsida; Brassicales; Caricaceae. The record is from RNAcentral.